GACGACCGCUGGCGGUGUGCUUAACACAUGCAAGUCGAACGGUAAGGCCCUUUCGGGGGUACACGAGUGGCGAACGGGUGAGUAACACGUGAGUAACCUGCCCUCAUCUCUGGGAUAACAGUCGGAAACGGUUGCUAAUACUGGAUAUGAGCCUGCAAGGCAUCUUGUGGGUUGGAAAGAUUUUUUGGUUGGGGAUGGACUCGCGGCCUAUCAGCUUGUUGGUGAGGUAGUGGCUCACCAAGGCUUCGACGGGUAGCCGGCCUGAGAGGGCGACCGGCCACAUUGGGACUGAGAUACGGCCCAAACUCCUACGGGAGGCAGCAGUGGGGAAUAUUGCACAAUGGACGGAAGUCUGAUGCAGCAACGCCGCGUGCGGGAUGACGGCCUUCGGGUUGUAAACCGCUUUCAAUUGUGACGGAGCUUUUUGUGACGGUAGCAGUAGAAGAAGCACCGGCUAACUACGUG
This 465-nucleotide ribosomal RNA is filed under the name uncultured bacterium. RNAcentral's name for it is "partial 16S ribosomal RNA". It matches the Rfam family "Bacterial small subunit ribosomal RNA", at positions 28 to 507 of the family's 1533-position model. The record is from RNAcentral.